UACGUAGGGGGCUAGCGUUGGUCCGGAAUCAUUGGGCGUAAAGCGCGUGUAGGCGGUUCGGUAAGUCCGCUGUGAAAGUCGGGGGCUCAACCCUCGAAUGCCCGGUGGAUACUGUCGAACUAGAGUGCGGAAGAGGCGAGUGGAAUUCCUGGGUGUAGCGGUGAAAUGACGCAGAUAUCAGGAGGAACACCAAUAGCGAAGGCAGCUCGCCUGGGACGGUACUGACGCUGAGGUGCGAAAGCGUGGGGAGCAAACAGG
This 258-nucleotide ribosomal RNA is filed under the name uncultured bacterium. Its description in RNAcentral is "partial 16S ribosomal RNA". It matches the Rfam family "Bacterial small subunit ribosomal RNA", at positions 524 to 776 of the family's 1533-position model. The record is from RNAcentral.